UGGGGAAUAUUGCACAAUGGGCGAAAGCCUGACGCAGCCACGCCGCGUGGGUGAUGAAGGCCUUCGGGUUGUAAAGCCCUGUCGAGGGGGAAGAAGCAUGACGGUACCCCUCAAGAAAGCGCCGGCUAACCCUGUGCCAGCAGCCGCGGUAAUACAGGGGGCGCAAGCGUUGCUCGGAAUCACUGGGCGUAAAGCGAACGCAGGCGGACCGUUAAGUCGAAUGUGAAAUCCCGGGGCUCAACCCCGGAAGUGCAUUCGAAACUGGCGGUCUUGAGUACGGGAGAGGUGGGUGGAAUUCCUGGUGUAGAGGUGAAAUUCGUAGAUAUCAGGAGGAACACCGGUGGCGAAAGCGGCCCACCGGCCCGAUACUGACGCUCAUGUUCGAAAGCGUGGGGAGCAAA
Molecule: ribosomal RNA, 401 nt
Filed under: uncultured bacterium
Lineage: Bacteria
Description: bacterial SSU rRNA
Rfam family: Bacterial small subunit ribosomal RNA
Source: RNAcentral